UACGUAGGGUGCAAGCGUUAAUCGGAAUUACUGGGCGUAAAGCGUGCGCAGGCGGUUAUGCAAGACAGAUGUGAAAUCCCCGGGCUUAACCUGGGAACCGCAUUUGUGACUGCAUAGCUGGAGUACGGCAGAGGGGGAUGGAAUUCCGCGUGUAGCAGUGAAAUGCGUAGAUAUGCGGAGGAACACCGAUAGCGAAGGCAGUCCCCUGGGCCUGUACUGACGCUCAUGCACGAAAGCGUGGGGAGCAAACAGG
This 253-nucleotide ribosomal RNA is filed under the name uncultured bacterium. RNAcentral describes it as "partial 16S ribosomal RNA". It matches the Rfam family "Bacterial small subunit ribosomal RNA", at positions 524 to 776 of the family's 1533-position model. The record is from RNAcentral.